RNAcentral lists this ribosomal RNA (468 nucleotides) under uncultured bacterium. Its description in RNAcentral is "partial 16S ribosomal RNA". It matches the Rfam family "Bacterial small subunit ribosomal RNA", at positions 28 to 507 of the family's 1533-position model. The record is from RNAcentral.
GACGAACGCUGGCGGCGUGCUUAACACAUGCAAGUCGAACGGAAAGGCCCUGCUUUUGUGGGGUGCUCGAGUGGCGAACGGGUGAGUAACACGUGAGUAACCUGCCCUUGACUUUGGGAUAACUUCAGGAAACUGGGGCUAAUACCGGAUAGGAGAUCCUGCUGCAUGGUGGGGGUUGGAAAGUUUCGGCGGGUGGGGAUGGACUCGCGGCUUAUCAGCUUGUUGGUGGGGUAGUGGCUUACCAAGGCUUUGACGGGUAGCCGGCCUGGGAGGGUGACCGGCGACAUUGGGACUGAGAUACGGCCCAGACUCCUACGGGAGGCAGUAGUGGGGAAUAUUGCACAAUGGGCGGAAGCCUGAUGCAGCAACGCCGCGUGCGGGAUGACGGCCUUCGGGUUGUAAACCGCUUUCGCCUGUGACGAAGCGUGAGUGACGGUAAUGGGUAAAGAAGCACCGGCUAACUACGUG